GAUGAACGCUGGCGGCGUGCCUAAUACAUGCAAGUCGAGCGAACAGACGAGGAGCUUGCUCCUUUGACGUUAGCGGCGGACGGGUGAGUAACACGUGGGUAACCUACCUCUAAGACUGGGAUAACUUCGGGAAACCGGAGCUAAUACCGGAUAAUAUUUCGAACCGCAUGGUUCGAUAGUGAAAGAUGGCUCUGCUAUCACUUAUAGAUGGACCUGCGCCGUAUUAGCUAGUUGGUAAGGUAACGGCUUACCAAGGCAACGAUACGUAGCCGACCUGAGAGGGUGAUCGGCCACACUGGAACUGAGACACGGUCCAGACUCCUACGGGAGGCAGCAGUAGGGAAUCUUCCGCAAUGGGCGAAAGCCUGACGGAGCAACGCCGCGUGAGUGAUGAAGGUCUUCGGAUCGUAAAACUCUGUUAUUAGGGAAGAACAAACGUGUAAGUAACUGUGCACGUCUUGACGGUACCUAAUCAGAAAGCCACGGCUAACUACGUG
Molecule: ribosomal RNA, 497 nt
Filed under: uncultured bacterium
Lineage: Bacteria
Description: partial 16S ribosomal RNA
Rfam family: Bacterial small subunit ribosomal RNA
Source: RNAcentral